RNAcentral lists this transfer RNA (90 nucleotides) under Acinetobacter baumannii ATCC 17978. RNAcentral's name for it is "tRNA-Ser". It matches the Rfam family "tRNA". From Rfam's summary of the family: Transfer RNA (tRNA) molecules are approximately 80 nucleotides in length. Their secondary structure includes four short double-helical elements and three loops (D, anti-codon, and T loops). The record is from RNAcentral. Lineage: Bacteria; Pseudomonadati; Pseudomonadota; Gammaproteobacteria; Moraxellales; Moraxellaceae.
GUGAGGUGUCCGAGUGGCUGAAGGAGCACGCCUGGAAAGUGUGUAUACGUUUACGCGUAUCGAGGGUUCGAAUCCCUCUCUCACCGCCAG